GGGGCUAUAGCUCAAUGGUUAGAGCGCUGACCUGGCAUGUGUGAGACCACGGGUUCGAUUCCCCAGCACUG
This 71-nucleotide transfer RNA is filed under the name Dipodomys ordii (Ord's kangaroo rat). It matches the Rfam family "tRNA". Rfam says of the family: Transfer RNA (tRNA) molecules are approximately 80 nucleotides in length. Their secondary structure includes four short double-helical elements and three loops (D, anti-codon, and T loops). Further hydrogen bonds mediate the characteristic L-shaped molecular structure. tRNAs have two regions of fundamental functional importance: the anti-codon, which is responsible for specific mRNA codon recognition, and the 3' end, to which the tRNAs corresponding amino acid is attached (by aminoacyl-tRNA synthetases). tRNAs cope with the degeneracy of the genetic code in two manners: having more than one tRNA (with a specific anti-codon) for a particular amino acid; and 'wobble' base-pairing, i.e. permitting non-standard base-pairing at the 3rd anti-codon position. Lineage: Eukaryota; Metazoa; Chordata; Mammalia; Rodentia; Heteromyidae. The record is from Rfam by way of RNAcentral.